GACGAACCGUGCAAACGUUGUUCGGAAUCACUGGGCUUAAAGGGCGCGUAGGCGGCUUGUCAAGUCAGGGGUGAAAUCUUUCGGCUUAACCGGAAAAGUGCCUCUGAUACUGACAGGCUCGAGGGAGGUAGGGGCAUGUGGAACUUCCGGUGGAGCGGUGAAAUGCGUUGAUAUCGGAAGGAACGCCGGUGGCGAAAGCGACGUGCUGGACCUCUUCUGACGCUGAGGCGCGAAAGCUAGGGGAGCGAACGGG
Molecule: ribosomal RNA, 253 nt
Filed under: uncultured bacterium
Lineage: Bacteria
Description: partial 16S ribosomal RNA
Rfam family: Bacterial small subunit ribosomal RNA
Source: RNAcentral